GAUGAAGAACGCAGCGAAAUGCGAUACGUAGUGUGAAUUGCAGAAUCCAGUGAAUCAUCGAAUCUUUGAACGCACAUUGCGCCCCCUGGCAUUCCGGGGGGCAUGCCUGUCCGAGCGUCAUUUCUGCCCUCCAGCCCGGCUGGGUGUUGGGCGCUGUCCCCCCGGGGACACGCCCCAAAGGCAGUGGCGGCGCCGCGUCGGGUCCUCGAGCGUAUGGGGCUUUGUCACCCGCUCGGGACGGACUCGUCGGCGCUGGUCUUCCUCCAGGCGACCCUUCGGGGCUCGUCUUCCUUCGGUUGACCUCGGAUCAGGUAGGGUUACCCGCUGAACUUAAGCAUAUCAAUAAGCGGAGGA
This 354-nucleotide unclassified non-coding RNA is filed under the name soil metagenome. RNAcentral describes it as "partial contains 5.8S ribosomal RNA, internal transcribed spacer 2, and large subunit ribosomal RNA". The stretch from base 1 to 120 matches the Rfam family "5.8S ribosomal RNA", at positions 35 to 154 of the family's 154-position model. The record is from RNAcentral.